Molecule: ribosomal RNA, 253 nt
Filed under: uncultured bacterium
Lineage: Bacteria
Description: partial 16S ribosomal RNA
Rfam family: Bacterial small subunit ribosomal RNA
Source: RNAcentral
UACGUAGGGGGCUAGCGUUGUCCGGAUUUAUUGGGCGUAAAGAGCGUGUAGGCGGCCAGGUAGGUCUGCUGUGAAAACUCGAGGCUUAACCUCGAGAUGUCGGCGGAAACCAUCUGGCUAGAGUCCGGAAGAGGAGAAUGGAAUUCCCGGUGUAGCGGUGAAAUGCGCAGAUAUCGGGAAGAACACCCGUGGCGAAAGCGGCUCUCUGGAACGGUACUGACGCUGAGACGCGAAAGCGUGGGGAGCGAACAGG